Molecule: long non-coding RNA, 345 nt
Organism: Pseudoliparis swirei
Lineage: Eukaryota; Metazoa; Chordata; Actinopteri; Perciformes; Liparidae
Exons: 3
Source: RefSeq, a predicted model, not a curated record
UGUCAGCCCACAGACAACCGGUUGACCUGUGAGUCUUCAAGCAGUAAUGAUGACUACGCCUGCCUUAAGUUCCAGUUUCCUGGACAUGUCAGCAUGAGAUUCUGUCCCCACCUGUCUUCAGUCUGGACCCAAUGAUUCGGACACCAGUCUUGUCGAGGCUAAAUUGAGAUCAAGCAUUGACGGGAAAACACCCAAAGUCCAUCACUCAUGCACCGAGGAUCUGGCUGAUUACUGGAAAUUUGGAAGAUUGUUCUUUAUCUGCACUGUCACUUCUGGUAAAUAUUUAUGGACCUUUUGCGGUAUGUUUUGCUUUGACUUAUCAACUGAUGGUGAAUAAUUGGUUGA